CGUACACAGGUGCUGCAUGGCUGUUGUCAGCUCGUGUCGUGAGAUGUUGGGUUAAGUCCCGCAACGAGCGCAACCCCUGCAUUCAGUUGCCAUCGGGUAGAGCCGGGCACUCUGGAAGGACUGCCAUCGACAAGAUGGAGGAAGGUGGGGAUGACGUCAAGUCAUCAUGGCCCCUAUGUCCAGGGCGACACACGUGCUACAAUGGCCGGCACAACGGGAAGCGAGUUCGCGAGGACAAGCGGAUCCCUCAAAGCCGGUCGCAGUUCGGAUUGAAGUCUGCAACUCGACUUCAUGAAGCUGGAAUCGCUAGUAAUCGUGGAUCAGCCAAGCCGCGGUGAAUACGUUCCCGGGCCUU
This 355-nucleotide ribosomal RNA is filed under the name uncultured Synergistaceae bacterium. Its description in RNAcentral is "bacterial SSU rRNA". It matches the Rfam family "Bacterial small subunit ribosomal RNA", at positions 1029 to 1382 of the family's 1533-position model. Lineage: Bacteria; Thermotogati; Synergistota; Synergistia; Synergistales; Synergistaceae. The record is from RNAcentral.